UACGCAACUCAUCCAACACGGUGGGUUUGGGAUUGUAGGUCGGGUCAUGAUCGCCAGUUUUUGAUGACUUGGAAUGAGACUCAAAAAUCAACUUUCUAACAACGCGGACCUUCAAAGUCAACUGAUGGUAAAACUAAACAAGUCGUACUUCAUAACGUCUGAUGAGUUUAUAAAAGCACAAACAGACAACCGCGCCUCCACGGUGAGAUGGGAGCGUAGCAUGUUUACUCCGGCUGUUGGUCUCUGAGCUUCUCCACAGCUGAGGAUUAACCGGAUAAAUUCAAGAUGAAGAGAAAGAAUCCUACGCACACGUCUCGGCAGCAAUUCACCGACUGUAUUUCAUCGCGCAGGAACUACAAACCCCCCCUCAUCACCAUGAAAUACACCAUUACAGCGCUGAGACAGCUCUACACUCAGCUGCCAAUUUAUGAGUGCAGAGCGUACCUGGAUGGAGAACAAAGGAGAAAGAGACAAUGGGACGAGCAGAUAAGGAAAAAAAAAACUGCUGGAGAUGAACUUGAAUCUACAGAUGAUGAGAUGAAAUGCGCUGCGUUUGUGAGAGCAGAAAACAGGAUGCAGACAGCUUUACAGAAAAAAAAAGACUGUAGCAGAGACUAAAGAUGGCAGAACUGAUUAGAAAGUCCAAGAAGAGGAGAGAAGAGGAGUUAUGAAACUUUGACGGAGAAAUUUGAGGAAAAAAGGCUUUUGAGCUACGAGACGUUAUGCAAUAUUAUCUCUGGAUGUACAUGUAAUCAGCCAGGGGGGAAAUAAUGACCCCCCGUAGAGUUGAAACAGUCGGCAGGAUGACAGGAAGUGGAUAAUGAACAUAAUUUCUCCAUUAUGCAGAUUGGAUGAUUUUACACGUGAGUUACUCUCACUUCUUUGACAUUUCAUAAAAAUCAAUAAACCGGUAGGUUUUCAGCCGUCGUCCUCUGAGCUAAGAUUUACACGUCCUACACCUGAGGAAGCCUAAUGUGUGUUUGAUCUGCUAUGGAAAUUAUAUUCACUGCACUACGGUAAAGAAAAAAAAAAAACACGUUCCCUGUGUGUGGUAUCUCGAUCAUAUUCCCCUGUUUGACCUUGAUCCUGUUCUGUAAGGCUCAUGAUCCACCUCUGGGCUGUGACUCACCUGUUGAGAAAUCACUGUGAUGUGGAAAAAGUCUGCUAAUACCCCCUCAACCCCCUCACAUCUGCAUGGAAGGCAGUGAUUAGGAAUUUAAGAUCAAGGGGCGAGAUUGCGAGCAGAAAGGAGGGAAGGUUGGAGAAAGAGAGAACCGUGAAAUCUGCUCUCGUUUGAACUGCAAAUU
This is a long non-coding RNA of Acanthopagrus latus (yellowfin seabream), 1307 nucleotides long. RefSeq lists it as uncharacterized. The transcript has 3 exons. The record is from RefSeq and is a predicted model, not a curated record. NCBI's taxonomy places the organism in Eukaryota, Metazoa, Chordata, Actinopteri, Spariformes, Sparidae.